UAAGCGGAGGAAAGAAAAUAACUAUGAUUCCCUUAGUAACGGCGAGUGAACAGGGAGAAGCCCAAAUUUGUAAUCUGGCACUUUUUACAGGUGUCCGAGUUGUAAUUUGUAGAACUGCUAUCCGUACUGGACCAUGUACAAGUCUGUUGAAAAGCAGCAUCAUUGAAGGUGAAAAUCCUGUAGAUGAUAUGGACUACCAGUAUAUUUGUGAUGCGGUUUCUAAGAGUCGAGUUGUUUGGGAAUGCAGCUCAAAGUGGGUGGUAAAUUCCAUCUAAGGCUAAAUAUGAGUGAGAGACCGAUAGCAUACAAGUACCGUGAGGGAAAGAUGAAAAGAACUUUGAAAAUAGAGUUAACAGUACGUGAAAUUGCUGAAAGGGAAACGUUUGAAGUUAGUUUUGUAUUCGUUGGAUCAGCUUCGCAAGGAGUGUAUUCCGAUGAUAGGCAAGUCAACAUCAAUCUAUGAGUGUUGGAUAAGGGUUUUGAGAACGUAGCAAUUCAGUUGUGUUAUAGCUCGAGACUUGGAUACGAUGCUUUGGAUUGAGGAACGCGUAGUAAGCUUUGAGCGGAUUCGAAAGGAUCUCCUUACUAUGGAUGUUGGUGAAAUAACUUUAAGCGACCCGUCUUGAAA
This 628-nucleotide ribosomal RNA is filed under the name Melampsora ferrinii. RNAcentral's name for it is "eukaryotic LSU rRNA". It matches the Rfam family "Eukaryotic large subunit ribosomal RNA", at positions 47 to 659 of the family's 3401-position model. Lineage: Eukaryota; Fungi; Basidiomycota; Pucciniomycetes; Pucciniales; Melampsoraceae. The record is from RNAcentral.